GUGGGGAAUCUUGCGCAAUGGGCGAAAGCCUGACGCAGCCAUGCCGCGUGAAUGAUGAAGGUCUUAGGAUUGUAAAAUUCUUUCACCGGGGACUAUAAUGACGGUACCCGGAGAAGAAGCUCCGGCUAACUUCGUGCCAGCAGCCGCGGUAAUACGAAGGGGGCUAGCGUUGCUCGGAAUUACUGGGCGUAAAGGGCGCGUAGGCGGAUCGUUAAGUCAGGGGUGAAAUCCCAGAGCUCAACUCUGGAACUGCCCAUGAUACUGGCGAUCUUGAGUGUGAGAGAGGUAUGUGGAACUCCGAGUGUAGAGGUGAAAUUCGUAGAUAUUCGGAAGAACACCAGUGGCGAAGGCGACAUACUGGCUCAUUACUGACGCUGAGGCGCGAAAGCGUGGGGAGCAAACAGGAUUAGAAACCCCAGUAGUCC
This 425-nucleotide ribosomal RNA is filed under the name uncultured bacterium. RNAcentral's name for it is "partial 16S ribosomal RNA". It matches the Rfam family "Bacterial small subunit ribosomal RNA", at positions 354 to 796 of the family's 1533-position model. The record is from RNAcentral.